Long non-coding RNA from Budorcas taxicolor (takin), 338 nucleotides. RefSeq lists it as uncharacterized. Lineage: Eukaryota; Metazoa; Chordata; Mammalia; Artiodactyla; Bovidae. The transcript is spliced from 3 exons. The record is from RefSeq and is a predicted model, not a curated record.
GACAACUAAAUGCAGUACCCAACCCUGCACUGAAUCCUGUGGAGGAGAAUGAAGUGCUGGAAAGAACAUUAUUAGAUUGACUGACAAAAUCAGGAUACAGCUGCCAGAUUAGAUGAAAGAUUACAUCAAUGGUCUCCAAUUGGCUGAAUCCUCCUGGUAGCCGGUGGGCAAGGGAGCCUACUGAUGCGGUCUACAGAGAGUCAAAGAUCUCCUGUGACCAGAAAUGGUCUCUCCGGCCACUGACUCUACUAUUCCUCUUAGUUGCCGUCCCUUGUAGCGAGUUUUUGUCCCUCUCUCCAUGGUUCUACAACAGGACCCGUUCAACUUUAGAGACCAGA